This 567-nucleotide long non-coding RNA is filed under the name Mus musculus (house mouse). RNAcentral describes it as "long non-coding RNA chr16:8637016-8637583". The record is from RNAcentral. Lineage: Eukaryota; Metazoa; Chordata; Mammalia; Rodentia; Muridae.
ACACAACAAAGCCGUGGGGUACUUAUCACAGGACCUCUGCAGUUCUCCGAGUGCCUUGCGCGGCCAGAGAACCUCUUUGUAUCAUUAACCUGUCUGGGAAGGAAGCAGAGACGUGAGGCACGGAGGCCCUCAACACACUGCCUGUGGUUCUCUGGAGUGAGCAGAUUCUGGGCUUUGGAGUCAAGAGGACACUAGCUGUGCAUCCUUCUUCACCCUUCCAAAGAAAACCUCAGAAUACGCUGAGGGAGACACGGCUCUUAAGCUCUGAACCGGGUGUGUACGUACGAAGUGGCAGCGACGCAGACCGUCCACGUGACCCAAGGGCCCGGGACAAAGCAGGAAAACAGCCCAAGCUAAUAGACUCUGGCCUUCCACUGGCCGGUUUCCCGAAUGGUCAGCCCAGGCGUCCUGCCUGCCAGUCCUAGACCCGACCGGGGACGGGGAGCGCGUUCCCUCCUGACAUUCCUACCAUGAGCCCGCCGCCUGCUACAGGACGCACGCUGUACUUGUCACCGGAAAGUUGAAGGGCGCAUGCGCGGGCGGUUAAAAACCCGCAUGCGCUAAUUC